UUUAGACUCCCAUACCACCUUAAGUAUUUUCUAGACUGAUUUAACUCAUUUCUGUACAAUAGUUAGUACAAUCAGGGAGAAUCCAUGAAAUGUGAAAAGGGAGUGUAAAUCCCAAAAAGGCAAUUCAUACUGGCGAGAGGAGCUAGGUGAAGGACUACUUUAUCCUUUAGAUACAUAUAACUGUGAGAACCAUACUAUUUUCUGUCUAUUUCGAUGAAAGGAGGGGGUGAACAUCUUGCACACGCCCUAUCAUAGAUCGCCACUGGCAAUGACAAGACGCGAUUCUUUUAUGAUUAAGUGGUAAAGUUGUUAAAAAAAACCUUAAAACAUCAAUUCUUAAAUUUCUACACAAAUAUAUUUGAACAAAAAUUUGAAAAAAUAAAUAAAAAAA
Molecule: long non-coding RNA, 391 nt
Filed under: Mytilus galloprovincialis (Mediterranean mussel)
Lineage: Eukaryota; Metazoa; Mollusca; Bivalvia; Mytilida; Mytilidae
Source: RNAcentral